CCCUUAGAUGUCCUGGGCCGCACGCGUGCUACACUGACGCCUACAGCGAGUACUUCCCAGCACCGAAAGGUGUGGGUAAUCUUUUGAAACUUCGUCGUGCUGGGGAUAGAUCCUUGCAAUUUUUGAUCUUAAACGAGGAAUUCCUAGUAAGCGCAAGUCAUCAACUUGCGUUGAUUACGUCCCUGCCCUUUGUACACACCGCCCGUCGCUACUACCGAUUGAAUGGUUUAGUGAGGCCUUCGGAUCCGCGAUUUCUAUUGUGGAGAAGUUGGACAAACUCAGUCAUUUAGAGGAAGUAAAAGUCGUAACA
This 310-nucleotide ribosomal RNA is filed under the name uncultured eukaryote. RNAcentral's name for it is "partial 18S ribosomal RNA". It matches the Rfam family "Eukaryotic small subunit ribosomal RNA", at positions 1470 to 1796 of the family's 1831-position model. The record is from RNAcentral.